RNAcentral lists this ribosomal RNA (440 nucleotides) under uncultured bacterium. RNAcentral describes it as "partial 16S ribosomal RNA". It matches the Rfam family "Bacterial small subunit ribosomal RNA", at positions 338 to 795 of the family's 1533-position model. The record is from RNAcentral.
CCUACGGGAGGCUGCAGUGGGGAAUAUUGCACAAUGGGGGAAACCCUGAUGCAGCGACGCCGCGUGAGUGAAGAAGUAAUUCGUUAUUUAAAGCUCUAUCAGCAGGGAAGAAAAUGACGGUACCUGAGUCAGAAGCCCCGGCUAACUACGGCCCAGCAUCCGCGGUAAUACGUAGGGGGCAAGCGUUAUCCGGAUUUACUGGGUGUAAAGGGUGCGUAGACGGCAGUGCAAGUCUGGAGUGAAAGGCGGGGGCUCAACCCCCGGACUGCUCUGGAAACUGUACGGCUGGAGUGCAGGAGAGGUAAGUGGAAUUCCUAGUGUAGCGGUGAAAUGCGUAGAUAUUAGGAGGAACACCAGUGGCGAAGGCGGCUUACUGGACUGUAACUGACGUUGAGGCUCGAAAGCGUGGGGAGCAAACAGGAUUAGAUACCCUUGUAGUC